AUUCCAGCUCUAUUACGGGAAAACGUUGAACAGGCAUUCCCUUCCUUCACCAGUGAAUAGCCAUAGCCAUUCCAUUCCACGGGAGUAAAUUUUUUUUUUCCAUUUUCAUUUUUUGCCCUCAGCUUCAUCUUCUCCUUUCCUUUCCAUCUCUGCGUUUCCCUUUUUUUUCCUUCUUAUUUCCCCAUCUGCUGCUACUGUUUCUGUUCGCCUUCUUAUUGCCGUUCAGAGCACGGUAGGAAUGCUGAGAGAUUACCUUCUUUCUUUUUCAUUUUUAGCCUCAUUUUUCAUCAUCAUCCUUUCUGCAGUUUCAACUACAGCCUCUACGUUCAUUACCUUCUCCAUUUAUAAAGCUCUAAACACCAUUGCCCCUCACCAAUUUUUUCAAUCUUUUCCUCGUAGCAAUCGAGAUCGUAGAAAUUUCCCAAUUAAGGGCAAAAUCUUCAGCAAGGAAAAAAAUCCAGACUUAAUUGAAGAACACAUUACAUUCUGGUUUUGAGUUCAAAGCGAUUCAAGAUAAGGUUUCCCUUCAUUUAAGACCUUGGCAUCGUUCAUUUCAGUUCUGGGUUCGAGCAGUUGAUAUUUAUGGGCUAUAAGUUCUCUUCUUUAUCUUCUUCUUCCUUUGAUUCUUCUUCUUGUUGUUAAUUUGAUAGUUUUGCAUUGUUGGGUAAUUGUUGAAAUGAUAGGUGUUUCAACUUCGAGUAAGUUUUGUGAAGGAUCCACAAAAGCAAUAAGCAAUAAGCAAUGUGGGAUUUAUUAUUGGUGACUAUUGUUGAUUGAAUUCAAUGUCUAAUUUGAAAAUUUACUUAUAUUAUUGGCACGGCACUUCUUUAUGCAAAUAACUUUGUUAUAUUUUGGGAUUUUCUGAGAGUUCCUAUGUUUCCUGCUUGUUUGCUUUCUCUUUUCAAGUGCAUGGUUCUUUGUGUUAUUUUUUAAUUCAGUUUUUAAAUUAUGACCUACUAUAUCUGUAACUAGAGUUUUAGUUUCUACAUAAUAACUUAAUAGUCUAAAACUUUCACGGAACUGCCAAGAUACUCGUACUGUCAUGGUAAGUUUUGAUAAUGUGAAAUUUUAUGUUGUUAUUGAGGAAUAAAUGUAAGCUUUUGCAAGUGAUUGAUAAUUCAAGUAAAUUUUUACAUGAAUCUUUAGGCAGAGCAAUCCAUCUUUCAUUGGUAAUUAGGUGAAGCCUGUUUAAACCUGUGUUUGUUGCUUCAAAAUUGGUUACUUUUCUGAGCUGCAUGUUGGUUCACCAUUUAGUAUCUGCCGCAUUUUGUUAAAUUUUGGAUUUUCUGCUUAGUGUUCAUAUGAUGUUCUUGUCUACAUGCCCCAAAAUUGAUUAUUUGCUUGAUAGUUUAUACCAUGGUUUCAUUAAGACUGAAGACACUUUCUUCCUUGUAUGCUGAUGAUGUUGAUGUUCCUCAGGUGCAACACUAUCGGCUUUUUCUGAAAGAACAUGUUGUUUUUAAGGAGGCUAUUCCAAUUAAAAAUCCCCUCGCCCUGUCAAAGAUACACCAGACAUACAGAGUUCAUUUUCUUUCUAUAAGUACUAUCAUAGGGAUAUAAUUAUUAAGGUUCCAAAUGCUUUCAUCCUUGUUCCUUGCUGUGGCAUCUUUAAACACUAUUUGUGCUAAUUCUUUUACUGAAAGUUGUUUCUCCUCCUUAUAUCUAUAGAUGAGGUUUUUCCAUAAUUAAUUUUGUAGGAAUUAUUUGUUGCAUUUUUUUCAUUAUUUAUUGCAUGAGGUUAAUGGCUUGCUUGAGUUUUUCCAAGGUUCUUGGUAGUUAUAUCAAUUUUUGGUAAUUAUUUCUGGUUUGAAGCUGGUUAUAUAUUAUUGGAUCACGGUGAUCAUUAUAUGUGUGCUUUGACUAAUCAAAUCUUGGUGGUAAUACAUUCCACGCUGUGUAAGUAGGAAUUUUUGUUCAUUUCAUCAAAUCUAGGUGAAAUUUGUAAAUUAUGUGCCCCAACUCUUUUGCAAGUGAGCUGUAAAUUUGUCAUUGAUGUUAUUUUGUAUCAUUAAAUUUCUAUAAUUUCAGGAAUGAUGGAUUUCAUAAGGUAAGUUUUUUAUUAAAUUUUUGCUUAUGUGCCAAGAGUCAAGAGUGGCU
This is a long non-coding RNA of Gossypium raimondii (Peruvian cotton), 2097 nucleotides long. RefSeq lists it as uncharacterized. The transcript has 2 exons. The record is from RefSeq and is a predicted model, not a curated record. Lineage: Eukaryota; Viridiplantae; Streptophyta; Magnoliopsida; Malvales; Malvaceae.